RNAcentral lists this long non-coding RNA (420 nucleotides) under Polistes fuscatus (common paper wasp). RNAcentral describes it as "uncharacterized LOC122515715". The record is from RNAcentral. Lineage: Eukaryota; Metazoa; Arthropoda; Insecta; Hymenoptera; Vespidae.
UCGUGUUCUAAAUUUGCAAGGCAAACUAAUCUCAUUGUCAAAUAUGAAUUCGUCGUUAAACUUCGUAGAAUCUUAUUCGCAAGUAUUAAUGGUCACGAUUUUUCUGAACGAGUAGGGCGUGUUGUUGGAGUAUAUAAAAGAACUGUAAGCAUCCAGCAUCUCUUCAUUACGAAAGUGUAUUUCUUAUAACGUACAAGUUCUAAUACUUUUUCAAAUAGAAAAUAUUUCCUCGAGGAUAAAUAAUCGUUUUGAAUAAAAAAAGGAAAAAGAAGAAUUAAUUAUUUGUUAAAUCUACCGUGCAUCACAAUAAUUGGGGAGAUAUUUGAAAUAAAAAGUUCAUUGAUAUCAGGUCAAUAGUGUCUCGAAAUUAUCGAAGUGAGAACAGUAGUGCAUAAAUUGGAGCAGUAAUUAAUUUAAAAA